UUUCCUACGGGAGGCAGCAGUGAGGAAUAUUGGUCAAUGGGCUAAGGCCUGAACCAGCCAAGCCGCGUGAGGGAAGACGGUCCUAUGGAUUGUAAACCUCUUUUGCCGGGGAGCAACGGGCGUCACGUGUGGCGCCACUGAGAGUACCCGGAGAAAAAGCAUCGGCUAACUCCGUGCCAGCAGCCGCGGUAAUACGGAGGAUGCGUGCGUUAUCCGGAUUUAUUGGGUUUAAAGGGUGCGUAGGCGGAUCGUUAAGUCAGUGGUCAAAUUGAGGGGCUCAACCCCUUCCCGCCAUCGUAACUGGG
This 305-nucleotide ribosomal RNA is filed under the name uncultured bacterium. Its description in RNAcentral is "bacterial SSU rRNA". It matches the Rfam family "Bacterial small subunit ribosomal RNA", at positions 335 to 637 of the family's 1533-position model. The record is from RNAcentral.